RNAcentral lists this ribosomal RNA (428 nucleotides) under uncultured bacterium. Its description in RNAcentral is "bacterial SSU rRNA". It matches the Rfam family "Bacterial small subunit ribosomal RNA", at positions 354 to 796 of the family's 1533-position model. The record is from RNAcentral.
GUAGGGAAUCUUGCACAAUGGACGAAAGUCUGAUGCAGCGACGCCGCGUGAGUGAUGAAGGCUUUCGGGUUGUAAAGCUCUGUUCUCAGGGAAAAACACAAUGAUUGUACCUGAGAAGAAAGGACCGGCUAACUUCGUGCCAGCAGCCGCGGUAAGACGGGGGGUCCUAGCGUUGUUCGGAAUCAUUGGGCGUAAAGCGGGCGUAGGUGGCCAUGUAAGUUAGGAGUGAAAGCCCUGGGCUCAACCCAGGAAGUGCUCUUAAUACUGCUUGGCUUGAAUGUGGGAGAGGGUAGUAGAAUUCCAGGUGUAGUGGUGAAAUACGUAGAUAUCUGGAGGAAUACCGGUGGCGAAGGCGGCUACCUGGCCCAACAUUGACACUGAGGCCCGAAAGCGUGGGGAUCAAACAGGAUUAGAAACCCUAGUAGUCC